RNAcentral lists this transfer RNA (85 nucleotides) under Felis catus (domestic cat). It matches the Rfam family "tRNA". Rfam says of the family: Transfer RNA (tRNA) molecules are approximately 80 nucleotides in length. The record is from Rfam by way of RNAcentral. RNAcentral also lists the same sequence under 1 other name. Lineage: Eukaryota; Metazoa; Chordata; Mammalia; Carnivora; Felidae.
GCCUGGGUGGCUCAGUCGGUUGAGCGUCUGACUUUGGCUUAGGUCAUGAUCUCUCGGUCCAUGGGUUCGAGCCCCACUUCGGGCU